Macaca fascicularis (crab-eating macaque) is the source of this 148-nucleotide unclassified non-coding RNA. It matches the Rfam family "Metazoan signal recognition particle RNA". Rfam says of the family: The signal recognition particle (SRP) is a universally conserved ribonucleoprotein. It is involved in the co-translational targeting of proteins to membranes. Lineage: Eukaryota; Metazoa; Chordata; Mammalia; Primates; Cercopithecidae. The record is from Ensembl.
GCCAGGCUUGGUGGCGGGUGCCUGUAGUCCCAGAUAGUCGGGAGGCUGAGGCAGGAGACUCGCUUGAGCCCAGGAGGCUGAGGUUGCAGUGAGCUGGGAUGGCCCCACUGCACUCCAGCCUGGGAGACAAAGCGAGAUUCUGUCUCAA